UAGGGAAUCUUCCGCAAUGGACGCAAGUCUGACGGAGCAACGCCGCGUGAGUGAAGAAGGAUUUCGGUUCGUAAAACUCUGUUGUUAGAGAAGAACAGCGCAUAGAGUAACUGUUAUGCGUGUGACGGUAUCUAACCAGAAAGCCACGGCUAACUACGUGCCAGCAGCCGCGGUAAUACGUAGGUGGCAAGCGUUGUCCGGAUUUAUUGGGCGUAAAGCGAGCGCAGGCGGUCAAUUAAGUCUGAUGUGAAAGCCCCCGACUCAACCGGGGAGGGUCAUUGGAAACUGGUUGACUUGAGUGCAGAAGAGGAGAGUGGAAUUCCAUGUGUAGCGGUGAAAUGCGUAGAUAUAUGGAGGAACACCAGUGGCGAAGGCGACUCUCUGGUCUGUAACUGACGCUGAGGUUCGAAAGCGUGGGUAGCAAACAGG
Molecule: ribosomal RNA, 429 nt
Filed under: Bacteroidota bacterium
Lineage: Bacteria; Pseudomonadati; Bacteroidota
Description: Bacteroidetes bacterium partial 16S ribosomal RNA
Rfam family: Bacterial small subunit ribosomal RNA
Source: RNAcentral